Molecule: microRNA precursor, 54 nt
Filed under: Podarcis lilfordi (Lilford's wall lizard)
Lineage: Eukaryota; Metazoa; Chordata; Lepidosauria; Squamata; Lacertidae
Source: RNAcentral
UAAUUAGUAUUAUGAUGAUGAUGAUGAUGAUCAUCAUCAUCAUUAUCAUCUUUU